RNAcentral lists this ribosomal RNA (533 nucleotides) under uncultured bacterium. RNAcentral's name for it is "bacterial SSU rRNA". It matches the Rfam family "Bacterial small subunit ribosomal RNA", at positions 8 to 528 of the family's 1533-position model. The record is from RNAcentral.
AGAGUUUGAUCCUGGCUCACAUUGAACGCUGGCGGCAGGCCUAACACAUGCAAGUCGAGCGGCAGCGGGAAAGUACCUUGCUACUUUUGCCGGCGAGCGGCGGACGGGUGAGUAAUGCCUGGGAAAUUGCCCAGUCGAGGGGGAUAACAGUUGGAAACGACUGCUAAUACCGCAUACGCCCUACGGGGGAAAGCAGGGGACCUUCGGGCCUUGCGCGAUUGGAUAUGCCCAGGUGGGAUUAGCUUGUUGGUGAGGUAAUGGCUCACCAAGGCGACGAUCCCUAGCUGGUCUGAGAGGAUGAUCAGCCACACUGGAACUGAGACACGGUCCAGACUCCUACGGGAGGCAGCAGUGGGGAAUAUUGCACAAUGGGGGAAACCCUGAUGCAUCCAUGCCGCGUGUGUGAAGAAGGCCUUCGGGUUGUAAAGCACUUUCAGCGAGGAGGAAAGGUUGGUAGCUAAUAACUGCCAACUGUGACGUUACUCGCAGAAGAAGCACCGGCUAACUCCGUGCCAGCAGCCGCGGUAAUACGG